RNAcentral lists this ribosomal RNA (709 nucleotides) under Campylobacter jejuni. Its description in RNAcentral is "partial 23S ribosomal RNA". It matches the Rfam family "Bacterial large subunit ribosomal RNA", at positions 1292 to 1980 of the family's 2925-position model. Lineage: Bacteria; Pseudomonadati; Campylobacterota; Epsilonproteobacteria; Campylobacterales; Campylobacteraceae. The record is from RNAcentral.
GCAUGCAGGCAUGAGUAGCGAUAAUUAAUGUGAGAAUCAUUAACGCCGUAAACCCAAGGUUUCCUACGCGAUGCUCGUCAUCGUAGGGUUAGUCGGGUCCUAAGUCGAGUCCGAAAGGGGUAGACGAUGGCAAAUUGGUUAAUAUUCCAAUACCAACAUUAGUGUGCGAUGGAAGGACGCUUAGGGCUAAGGGGGCUAGCGGAUGGAAGUGCUAGUCUAAGGUCGUAGGAGGUUGUACAGGCAAAUCCGUAUAACAAUACUCCGAGAACUGAAAGGCUUUUUGAAGUCUUCGGAUGGAUAGAAGAACCCCUGAUGCCGUCGAGCCAAGAAAAGUUUCUAAGUUUAGCUAAUGUUGCCCGUACCGUAAACCGACACAGGUGGGUGGGAUGAGUAUUCUAAGGCGCGUGGAAGAACUCUCUUUAAGGAACUCUGCAAAAUAGCACCGUAUCUUCGGUAUAAGGUGUGGUUAGCUUCGUACUAGGAUUUACUCCGAAAGCGAAGAAACUUACAACAAAGAGUCCCUCCCGACUGUUUACCAAAAACACAGCACUCUGCUAACUCGUAAGAGGAUGUAUAGGGUGUGACGCCUGCCCGGUGCUCGAAGGUUAAUUGAUGGGGUUAGCAUUAGCGAAGCUCUUGAUCGAAGCCCGAGUAAACGGCGGCCGUAACUAUAACGGUCCUAAGGUAGCGAAAUUCCUUGUCGGUUAAA